Cyprinus carpio (common carp) is the source of this 4674-nucleotide long non-coding RNA. The record is from Ensembl. Lineage: Eukaryota; Metazoa; Chordata; Actinopteri; Cypriniformes; Cyprinidae.
UGCAGCAGAAACAUCUUUAACGACAGAGUCUUCCACAAUCCCAACUAUUCCUGCUGAAACACCCACCACUAGUGCAAAAGAAACAUAUACUACAACAGAGACUUCCAAAACAACGACUCCUGCUGAAACAUCCAAUACUAGUGCAGCAGAAAAAUAUACUACACAGAUAUCCACCAUCACAAAAAUUCCUGCUGAAACAUCCACCACUAGUGCUGCAGAAACGUCUUCAACAACAGAGACUUCCACAAUCACAACAAUUCCUGCUGAAACCUCUACUAUCAAUGUAACACAAACAUCUACAACAACAGAGAGUUCCACAAUCACAACAAUUCCAGCUGAAACAUCCACUAUCAGUGCAGCAGAAAUAUCUACAACAGAGACUUCAACAAUCACAAUAAUUCCAGCUGAAACAUCCACUACUAGUGCAGCAGAAACAUCUACAACAACAGAGACUUCCAUAAUCACUACUCCUGCUGAAAUAUCUACUAUCAGUGAAGCAGAAACAUCUACAACAAAAGAGACUUCCACAAUCAAAUCAACUACACCUGAAAUAUCCACCCCUAGUGAGGCAGAAAUAUCUACUACAAAAGAAACAUCCACAAUCAGGACUCCUGCUGAAACAUCCUCCGUUAGUGUAGCAGAAAUAUCUUCAACAACAGAGACUUCCACAAUCACAACAAUUCCUGCUGAAACCUCUACUAUCAGUGUAGCAGAAACAUCUACAACAAUGGAGACUUCCACAAUCACGACUCCUGCUGAAACAUCCACCACUAGUGCUGCAGAAACAUUUACAACAACAGAGACUUCCACAAUCACGACUCCUGUUGAAACAUCCACUACUGGUGCUGCAGAAACAUUUACAACAACAGAGACUUCUACAAUAACUACUCCUGCUGAAACAUCCACCAGUAGUGCAGCAGAAACAUCUUUAACAACAGAGACUUCCACAAUCACAACAACACCUGCUGAAACACCCACCACCAUUGCAAAUGAAACAUCUACUACAACAGAGACUUCCACAACAACAACUCCUGCUGAAACAUCCACUACUAGUGCAGCAGAAAAAUCUACUACACAGAUAUCCACCAUCACAACAAUUCCUGCUGAAACAUCCACCACUAGUGCUGCAGAAACAUUUACAACAACAGAGACUUACACAAUCACAACAACUCCUUCUGAAACAUCCACCACUAGUGCAGCAGAAACAUCUACAACAACAGACACAUCCACAAUCACAGCAACUCCUGCUAAAACAUCCCCCGCUAGUGCAACAGAAACAUCAUCAAUAACAAAGACUUCCACAAUCACUACUUCUGCUGAAAUAUCUACUAUCAGUGAAACAGAAAUAUCUACAACAAAAGAGUCUUCAACAAUAACGAUUCCUGCUGAAAAACCCACCCCUAGUGUAGCAGAAACAUCUAUAACAACAGAGACUUCCACAAUCACAACAAUUCCUGCUGAAACCUCUACUAUCAGUGUAGCAGAAACAUCUACAACAAUGGAGACUUCCACAAUCACGACUCCUGCUGAAACAUCCACCACUAGUGCUGCAGAAACAUUUACAACAACAGAGACUUCUACAAUAACUACUCCUGCUGAAACAUCCACCAGUAGUGCAGCAGAAACAUCUAUAACAACAGAGACUUCCACAAUCACAACAAUUCCUGCUGAAACACCCACCACUAUUGCAAAAGAAACAUCUACAACAACAGAGACUUCCAUAAUCACUACUCCUGCUGAAAUAUCUACUAUCAGUGAAGCAGAAAUAUCUACAACAAAAGAGACUUCCACAAUCACGACUCCUGUUGAAACAUCCACUACUAGUGCUGCAGAAACAUUUACAACAACAGAGACUUCCACAAUCACAACAAUUCCUUCUGAAACAUCCACCACUAGUGCAGCAGAAACAUCUUUAACCGCAGAGACUUCCACAAGCACAACAACUCCAGCUGUAAUAUCCACUAUCCGUGUAGCAGAAACAUCUACAACAACAGAGACUUCAACUAUCAAAUCAACUACACCUGAAAUAUCCACCCCUAGUGAAGCAGAAAUAUCUACUACAAAAGAGACAUCCACAAUCAUGACUCCUGCUGAAACAUCCUCCGUUAGUGUAGCAGAAACAUCUUCUACAACAGGGAAUUCCACAAUAAAGACUCCUGCUGAAACAUCCAGAACUAGUACAGCAGAAACAUCUGCAACCACAGAGACUUCCACAAUAACGACUCCCACUGAAACAUCCACCACUAGUAAAGCAGAAACAUCUACAUCAACAGAGACUUUCACAAUCACGACUCCUGCUGAAACAUCCACCACUAGUGUAGCAGAAAUAUCUUCAACAACAGAGACUUCCACAAUCACAACAACUGCACCAGAAAUAUCUAUAACAACAGAGACUUCAACAAUCACAAUAAUUCCAGCUGAAACAUCCACUACUAGUGCAGCAGAAACAUCUUCAACAACAGAGACUUCCACAAAAAUUACACCUGCUGAAACAUCCACCACUAGUGCAGCAGAAACAUCUACAACAACAGAGACUUCCACAAUCACUACUCCUGCUGAAACAUCAACCACUACUGAAGCAGAAACAUCUACUUCAAAAGAAACUUCCACAGUCCCAACAGAUCCUACUGAAUCAUCGACCACUAAUGCAGCAGAAACAUCCACAACAACAGAGACUUCAACAAUAACGACUCCUGCUGAAACAUCCACAACUAGUGCAGCAGAAACAUCUACAAGCACAGAGACUUCCACAAUAACGACAACUGCUGAAAAAUCCACCACUAGUAAAGUAGAAUCAUCUACAACAACAGAGACUUACACAAUCACAACAAUUCCAGCUGAAACAUCCACCAUCAAUGCAGCAGAAUUACCUACAACAAAAGACACUUCAACGAUCACAAUAAUUCCAGCUGAAACAUCCACCACUAAUGCAGCAGAAACAUCUACAAGCACAGAGACUUCCACAAUAAUGACACCUGCUGAAACAUUCACCACUAGUAAACUAGACACAUCUACAACAACAGAGACUUCCACAAUCACUACUCCUGCUGAAACAUCAACCACAACUGAAGCAGAAACAUCUACAUCAAAAGAGACUUCCACAAUCACAACAAAUCCUGCUGAAUCAUCCACCACUAAUGCAGCAGAAACAUCUACAACAACAAAGACUUCCACAAUAACAACUCCUGCUGAAACAUCCAAAACUAGUGCAGCAGAAACAUCUACAAGCACAGAGACUUCCACAAUAAUGACACCUGCUGAAACAUCCACCACUAGUAAAGUAGAAACAUCUACAACAACAGUGACUUCCACAAUCACAACAAUUCCUGCUGAAACAUCCACCACCAGUGCAGCAGAAAUAUCUACAACAACAGAGACUUCAACGAUCACAAUAAUUCCAGCUGAAACAUCCACUACGAGUGCAGGAGAAACAUCUACAACAACAGAGACUUCCACAAUCACAACAAUUCCUGCUGAAACAUCGACCACUGAUGUACCAGAAAUGACUUCAACAACAGAGACUUCCACAAUCACAACAAUUCCUGCUGAAACAUCGACCACUGAUGUACCAGAAAUGACUUCAACAACAGAGACUUCCACAAUCACAAGAAUUCCUGCUGAAACCUCUACUAUCAUUGUAGCAGAAACAUAUACAGCAACAGAGACUUCAGCAAUCACAACUACACCUGAAAUAUCCUCCACUAGUGAAGCAGAAACAUUUACUACAAAAGAAACUUCCACAAUCACGAUUCCUUCUGAAACAUCCAAAGAAAGUGUAGCAGAAAUAUCUUCAACAACAGAGACUUCCACAUUCACAACAACUGCGGUUGAAACAUCCACAAUUAGUGCAGCAGAAACAUCUACAAGAACUGAUACUUCCACAAUUACAACAAAUCCUGCUGAGACUUCCACCACUAGUGCAGCAGAAACAUCUUCAACAACAGAGACUUCCACAAUCACUACUCCUGCUGUAACAUCAACCACUACUGAAGCAGAAAUAUCUACUUCAAAAGAGACUACCACAAUAACGACUCCUGCUGAAACAUCCACAACUAGUGCAGCAGAAACAUCUACAAGAACUGAUACUUCCACAAUUACAACAAAUCCUGCUGAGACUUCCACCACUAGUGCAGCAGAAACAUCUACAACAACAGAGAGUUCCGCAAUCACAACACUUCCAGCUGAAACAUCCACCAUCAGUGCAGCAGAAAUAUCUACAACAAAAGAGACUUCAACGAUCACAAUAAUUCCAGCUGAAACAUUCACUACUAGUGCAGCAGAAACAUCUUCAACAACAGAGACUUCCACAAUCACUACUCCUGCUGUAACAUCAACCACUACUGAAGCAGAAAUAUCUACUUCAAAAGAGACUUCCACAAUAACGACUCCUGCUGAAACAUCCACAACUAGUGCAGCAGAAACAUCUACAAGCACACAGACUUCCAGAAUAACGACACCUGCUGAAACAUCCACCACUAGUAAAGUAGAAACAUCUACAACAACAGAGACUCCCACAAUCACAACAAUUUCUGCUGGAACAUCGACCACUAAUGUACCAGAAAUGACUUCCACAACAGAGACUUCCACAAUCACAACAAUUCCUGCUGAAACAUCUACCAUUAGUGCUAUGGAAACUUCUUUAACAACAGAGACUUCCACACUCACAACAACUGC